RNAcentral lists this ribosomal RNA (1051 nucleotides) under Microbacteriaceae bacterium. Its description in RNAcentral is "bacterial SSU rRNA". It matches the Rfam family "Bacterial small subunit ribosomal RNA", at positions 338 to 1400 of the family's 1533-position model. Lineage: Bacteria; Bacillati; Actinomycetota; Actinomycetes; Micrococcales; Microbacteriaceae. The record is from RNAcentral.
CCUACGGGAGGCAGCAGUGGGGAAUAUUGCACAAUGGGCGAAAGCCUGAUGCAGCAACGCCGCGUGAGGGAUGACGGCCUUUCGGGUUGUAAACCUCUUUUAGCAGGGAAGAAGCGAAAGUGACGGUACCUGCAGAAAAAGCACCGGCUAACUACGUGCCAGCAGCCGCGGUAAUACGUAGGGUGCGAGCGUUGUCCGGAAUUAUUGGGCGUAAAGAGCUUGUAGGCGGUCUGUCGCGUCUGCUGUGAAAACCCGAGGCUCAACCUCGGGCCUGCAGUGGGUACGGGCAGACUAGAGUGCGGUAGGGGAGAACGGAACUCCUGGUGUAGCGGUGGAAUGCGCAGAUAUCAGGAAGAACACCGAUGGCGAAGGCAGUUCUCUGGGCCGUAACUGACGCUGAGAAGCGAAAGCGUGGGGAGCGAACAGGAUUAGAUACCCUGGUAGUCCACGCCGUAAACGUUGGGCGCUAGAUGUGGGGACCAUUCCACGGUUUCCGUGUCGUAGCUAACGCAUUAAGCGCCCCGCCUGGGGAGUACGGCCGCAAGGCUAAAACUCAAAGGAAUUGACGGGGGCCCGCACAAGCGGCGGAGCAUGCGGAUUAAUUCGAUGCAACGCGAAGAACCUUACCAAGGCUUGACAUAUACCGGAAACGGCCAGAGAUGGUCGCCCCCUUGUGGUCGGUAUACAGGUGGUGCAUGGUUGUCGUCAGCUCGUGUCGUGAGAUGUUGGGUUAAGUCCCGCAACGAGCGCAACCCUCGUUCUAUGUUGCCAGCGGUUCGGCCGGGAACUCAUAGGAGACUGCCGGGGUCAACUCGGAGGAAGGUGGGGAUGACGUCAAAUCAUCAUGCCCCUUAUGUCUUGGGCUUCACGCAUGCUACAAUGGCCGGUACAAAGGGCUGCGAUGCCGUAAGGCGGAGCGAAUCCCAAAAAGCCGGUCUCAGUUCGGAUUGAGGUCUGCAACUCGACCUCAUGAAGUCGGAGUCGCUAGUAAUCGCAGAUCAGCAACGCUGCGGUGAAUACGUUCCCGGGCCUUGUACACACCGCCCGUCAA